CCCGGAUAGUUAACUAUAACACUUAGGCCGUGACCCUAAAAAUAGAGUAUCUACUCUUCCGAGCC
RNAcentral lists this transfer RNA (65 nucleotides) under Agama knobeli. RNAcentral's name for it is "tRNA-His". Lineage: Eukaryota; Metazoa; Chordata; Lepidosauria; Squamata; Agamidae. The record is from RNAcentral.